This 402-nucleotide ribosomal RNA is filed under the name uncultured bacterium. RNAcentral describes it as "bacterial SSU rRNA". It matches the Rfam family "Bacterial small subunit ribosomal RNA", at positions 355 to 774 of the family's 1533-position model. The record is from RNAcentral.
UGGGGAAUCUUGCACAAUAGGGGCAACCCUGAUGCAGCGACGCCGCGUGAGCGAUGAAGCCCUUCGGGGCGUAAAGCUCUUUCGACCGGAACGAUAAUGACGGUACCGGGAGAAGAAGCUGCGGCUAACUACGUGCCAGCAGCCGCGGUAAUACGUAGGCAGCAAGCGUUGUUCGGAGUUACUGGGCGUGAAGAGUGCGUAGGCGGUUUUCUAAGUUCGGUGUGAAAUCUCCCGGCUUAACUGGGAGGGUGCGCCGAAGACUGGGAAGCUGGAGUGUGGGAAAGGCAGGCGGAAUUCCUGGUGUAGCGGUGAAAUGCGUAGAUAUCAGGAGGAACACCGGCGGUGUAGACGGCUUGCUAGACCAUAACUGACGCUGAGGCACGAAAGCGUGGGUAGCAAACA